RNAcentral lists this ribosomal RNA (861 nucleotides) under uncultured bacterium. RNAcentral describes it as "bacterial SSU rRNA". It matches the Rfam family "Bacterial small subunit ribosomal RNA", at positions 28 to 877 of the family's 1533-position model. The record is from RNAcentral.
GAUGAACGCUAGCUACAGGCUUAACACAUGCAAGUCGAGGGGCAGCAUGGUCUUAGCUUGCUAAGGCCGAUGGCGACCGGCGCACGGGUGAGUAACACGUAUCCAACCUGCCGUCUACUCUUGGACAGCCUUCUGAAAGGAAGAUUAAUACAAGAUGGCAUCAUGAGUCCGCAUGUUCACAUGAUUAAAGGUAUUCCGGUAGACGAUGGGGAUGCGUUCCAUUAGAUAGUAGGCGGGGUAACGGCCCACCUAGUCUUCGAUGGAUAGGGGUUCUGAGAGGAAGGUCCCCCACAUUGGAACUGAGACACGGUCCAAACUCCUACGGGAGGCAGCAGUGAGGAAUAUUGGUCAAUGGGCGAGAGCCUGAACCAGCCAAGUAGCGUGAAGGAUGACUGCCCUAUGGGUUGUAAACUUCUUUUAUAAAGGAAUAAAGUCGGGUAUGCAUACCCGUUUGCAUGUACUUUAUGAAUAAGGAUCGGCUAACUCCGUGCCAGCAGCCGCGGUAAUACGGAGGAUCCGAGCGUUAUCCGGAUUUAUUGGGUUUAAAGGGAGCGUAGAUGGAUGUUUAAGUCAGUUGUGAAAGUUUGCGGCUCAACCGUAAAAUUGCAGUUGAUACUGGAUAUCUUGAGUGCAGUUGAGGCAGGCGGAAUUCGUGGUGUAGCGGUGAAAUGCUUAGAUAUCACGAAGAACUCCGAUUGCGAAGGCAGCCUGCUAAGCUGCAACUGACAUUGAGGCUCGAAAGUGUGGGUAUCAAACAGGAUUAGAUACCCUGGUAGUCCACACGGUAAACGAUGAAUCCUAGGUGUCGGGGCUCACAAGAGCUUCGGUGCCGCAGCAAACGCAAUAAGUAUUCCACCUGGG